AUGCACUUUUCCAAUCACAUCAGUGUGCGCGGAGCCAGUCUGACAUUGUGCUGGGCUUGGCGAGACGCAAGCGCCAUCUCCGACACCUUCCCGGAGCAUCCCCUCGCCUCUCUUCUUCCGUCUCACCUGGCACGAACUCCUGGCACAGCAUGCAUUAUUACAGCCAUCGCUUUUGAUUAUAUCAUCCUCCGAGGCUGGACUGCGCGAGGAAGACGAAUAACACUUUGGGGAAUAGCAAGUAUGUUUCUGCUGCGGAGAAUCAUUGCGUCCAGGUGGUUUUGUUCAAUUUAUUUUAGUCUUAAGAUAUAUGCAGAAAUCCACUCCUCGGGCAUGCGUGUGUCUGCCUGUGCGGGAUCAGACAGUGGUUGUCCGAACCUGACCUUGUACUCGGAAAGGCUGCGGACCCUGGUAGGUCCCCGUGCUCCCUUCCCCACCUGCAGCUGCAGGAGGACACCGCGGGCACUGCACAGCCAGCGCAAAAUCUCGCGCUGCCUUGGAGCCAAGGGACACGUUCGUCAACAUUUGUUUUGCUCCUUUAGCGGGAGCAUCACGGAGAGCACGGGAGGGAUUUUCCCAGCAGCAAAACCUUGUUCUCCCUCCUGCCCUUGGGAAUCCGCUCUCCGCAGGAGCCAAAGGCUUGCCUGAUGCUUUGCCCACCAUUGUCAUGGGCUGAAUCAAAGGGCUUGCAGCUCCGGGAUUAUUGUGGCUUGAAAGCCACAGACUUAAAAAUUGAAAGAUGCAAUUCAGCUGUUGGUAUAUAAAUAUGCAGAAAUUAUAGCUCAUUCCUAAACUUAAUUGAGCACCAUAUGAUCUGCAUUCACUGCAGUCAAUUUGGAAACAUUAAAAGCUAUUUUGAUGGCUGUUUUUACAGUUACUGAUUUGUUAAUGUGUGUUUUGCAAAUGCAGUUUUGAUUGGCUCAUCUUAAUUUGCCAAAUGGAAGGCACUUCUAAUAGAGCUAAAAGGAGCAGAGGAUUUCGUUUGACUUUGCAUUUUAAUACGUUGGCUGGUGUUUAUUUUUCCACUCCAGCCCGCGCGGGGAGGGAAGGGGGUUGUGGUGAAACACACGCCCAGCCAUUAAACACUUUGAUGUAUUUGAGGGAAGACGUGGUUUUACUGGUGCGGUCGUCUGCCGCUGGAAAACAUGAAAAAGAGCAAGUGAUCGCUAGCUGUUCUAUCACUGAUAAGUUUUUUAAUUCCUUCCCAAUCCCCAAAAAGAGGCGAUUUUCGAUACCCACAGCACCCGGCGAUGCUGCCGCAGGAGGAGGAAGAGGCUGUGUCCCUUACGGGAGGCUCAGCAAGACGAAGAUUCGCAUUUCCCCGUGGCGACCCCGUCCCCAUCUGGCUGACCGUGGGAACAAAGAAAUCCCCGAGAGCGUCGGGGCGGUCUGUGCACUCCCCCUCCUUCUCACGUCCUUUAUCGCAGGCACCGAUCGGAUCAGCCACGAGGGUGGGUGGCAGGAUCGCAGGUUUUUCUGGUCGGACCUGAAGGAGCCACAGGUUUAUCGCGCAGCCCUCUGCUCCUGCAGGCACCACAUCAAAUAGCCUCCUUCUCCGCCCGGGAGAGGAGCCCGCCGCCGCCUCCUGAGCUUUCACAACUGGCCACCAAGACAGCGUCUUGGGCUUCCAAACCUUGUGCAGAAAUGG
Molecule: long non-coding RNA, 1645 nt
Filed under: Anser cygnoides (Swan goose)
Lineage: Eukaryota; Metazoa; Chordata; Aves; Anseriformes; Anatidae
Description: lncRNA (ENSACDG00005002842.1)
Source: RNAcentral